Molecule: transfer RNA, 80 nt
Organism: Schizopora paradoxa
Lineage: Eukaryota; Fungi; Basidiomycota; Agaricomycetes; Hymenochaetales; Schizoporaceae
Rfam family: tRNA
About the family: Transfer RNA (tRNA) molecules are approximately 80 nucleotides in length. Their secondary structure includes four short double-helical elements and three loops (D, anti-codon, and T loops).
Source: Rfam
UGCCCUGUGGCUUAGUUGGCUAAAGCGUGUGACUGUUACAGUACAUCACAAGAUCGAGAGUUCGAGCCUCUCCGGGGCAG